RNAcentral lists this ribosomal RNA (247 nucleotides) under uncultured bacterium. RNAcentral's name for it is "partial 16S ribosomal RNA". It matches the Rfam family "Bacterial small subunit ribosomal RNA", at positions 86 to 334 of the family's 1533-position model. The record is from RNAcentral.
UGGUGGCGACCGGCGCACGGGUGCGUAACGCGUAUGCAACCUACCUUUAACAGGGGGAUAACACUGAGAAAUUGGUACUAAUACCCCAUAAUAUCAUAGAAGGCAUCUUUUAUGGUUGAAAAUUCCGAUGGUUAGAGAUGGGCAUGCGUUGUAUUAGCUAGUUGGUGGGGUAACGGCUCACCAAGGCGACGAUACAUAGGGGGACUGAGAGGUUAACCCCCCACACUGGUACUGAGACACGGUCCAA